Molecule: ribosomal RNA, 484 nt
Filed under: uncultured bacterium
Lineage: Bacteria
Description: partial 16S ribosomal RNA
Rfam family: Bacterial small subunit ribosomal RNA
Source: RNAcentral
AUUGAACGCUGGCGGCAGGCCUAACACAUGCAAGUCGAGCGGAUGAAGGGAGCUUGCUCCUGGAUUCAGCGGCGGACGGGUGAGUAAUUCCUAUGAAUCUGCCUGGUAGUGUGGGAUAACGUCCGUAAACGGGCGCUAAUACCGCAUACGUCCUGAGGGUGAAGGUGGGGGUUCUUCGGACCUCUCGCUAUCAGAUGAGCCUAGUUCGGAUUUGCUAGUUGGUGUGGUAAAGGCCUACCAAGGCGACGAUCCGUAACUGGUCUGAGAGUAUGAUCAGUCACAGUGGAAAUGAGAGACGGACCAGACUCCUACGGGAGGAAGCAGUGGGGAAUAUUGGACAAUGGGCGAAAGCAUGAUACAGCAAUGCCGCGUGUGUGAAGAAGGUCUUCGGAUUGUAAAGCACUUUAAGGGGGGAGGAAGGGAAGUAAGUUAAUACCUUGCUGUAUUGACGUUAACAAAAGAAUAAGCACCGGCUAACUUCGUG